RNAcentral lists this ribosomal RNA (253 nucleotides) under uncultured bacterium. RNAcentral's name for it is "partial 16S ribosomal RNA". It matches the Rfam family "Bacterial small subunit ribosomal RNA", at positions 524 to 776 of the family's 1533-position model. The record is from RNAcentral.
UACGGAGGGUGCGAGCGUUGUCCGGAAUCACUGGGCGUAAAGGGCGCGUAGGCGGCCUGAUAAGUAGGGGGUGAAAUCCUGCGGCUUAACCGCAGGGCUGCCUUCUAAACUGUCAGGCUAGAGCACAGUAGAGGCAGGUGGAAUUCCCGGUGUAGCGGUGGAAUGCGUAGAUAUCUGGAGGAACACCGGUGGCGAAGGCGGCAUCCUGGACCGGCACUGACGCUGAGGAGCGAAAGCCAGGGGAGCAAACGGG